Molecule: ribosomal RNA, 767 nt
Filed under: bacterium
Lineage: Bacteria
Description: bacterial SSU rRNA
Rfam family: Bacterial small subunit ribosomal RNA
Source: RNAcentral
UGCAGUCGAGCGGAUGAGGGUAGCUUGCUACUGGAUUCAGCGGCGGACGGGUGAGUAAUGCUUAGGAAUCUGCCUAUUAGUGGGGGACAACGUUCCGAAAGGAGCGCUAAUACCGCAUACGUCCUACGGGAGAAAGCAGGGGACCUUCGGGCCUUGCGCUAAUAGAUGAGCCUAAGUCGGAUUAGCUAGUUGGUAGGGUAAAGGCCUACCAAGGCGACGAUCUGUAGCGGGUCUGAGAGGAUGAUCCGCCACACUGGGACUGAGACACGGCCCAGACUCCUACGGGAGGCAGCAGUGGGGAAUAUUGGACAAUGGGGGGAACCCUGAUCCAGCCAUGCCGCGUGUGUGAAGAAGGCCUUUUGGUUGUAAAGCACUUUAAGCGAGGAGGAGGCUACCUAGAUUAAUACUUUAGGAUAGUGGACGUUACUCGCAGAAUAAGCACCGGCUAACUCUGUGCCAGCAGCCGCGGUAAUACAGAGGGUGCGAGCGUUAAUCGGAUUUACUGGGCGUAAAGCGUGCGUAGGCGGCCAAUUAAGUCAAAUGUGAAAUCCCCGAGCUUAACUUGGGAAUUGCAUUCGAUACUGGUUGGCUAGAGUAUGGGAGAGGAUGGUAGAAUUCCAGGUGUAGCGGUGAAAUGCGUAGAGAUCUGGAGGAAUACCGAUGGCGAAGGCAGCCAUCUGGCCUAAUACUGACGCUGAGGUACGAAAGCAUGGGGAGCAAACAGGAUUAGAUACCCUGGUAGUCCAUGCCGUAAACGAUGUCUACUA